This 5685-nucleotide ribosomal RNA is filed under the name Triticum aestivum (bread wheat). RNAcentral describes it as "partial small subunit ribosomal RNA". The record is from RNAcentral. Lineage: Eukaryota; Viridiplantae; Streptophyta; Magnoliopsida; Poales; Poaceae.
UACUUCAUGUACCGAGGAGCAGUCUACGUGGUAAUGUUCCUGUGUACCCCUUUCCAGACGGGGGGCGAGAAGGGGCCACCGGCCCACGGGCCAGCGGUAGGAGAGGCACACGUCGCCGAGAGGGGGAGAGGGGGGACCGAGAGGCGUUCACCCAAAGAGGGGAGGGAGGAGAGGCGACGGCCAAACGCCAGCGUAGAGGACGAGGACCAUAGAACCCAACACGAGGACUACCCCUCGAGAGGUAGAGGGAGAGGGAGAGGAAGAGGCAGAAACCGACGACACCGAAGCAGCGGCCACCGCCGCAGCCGCCCCGGUCGUCAACGGGGCACAUGGGAUCUAGGUCUAGAGUUACGCCACCGGAGGCCGGACGCCCGGACGGGAGGCACACCCGGACUACCCGGAUAGCCCCGCCACAACCGAUCACCCGGAGGGGGGGAGGAAAGAAGCCACCAGCUAAAAGGGGGCGAGCAAAGAAAACCGGGUCAACCCGGGUUGUGGGCCGAUGGCCGAGGGGUAGGAGGAAGCCGGGUAAACCGCUCAGUCCGGGUCCCCCCGUGCCGAGCGAGCCCGAUAUAUACCUAGGGUGCGCCAAGCCGCAGGGGGGACGAUCCCAAAGGACGAAGGCGGAGACUAAACGCGGCGAUAGCGGAAGGGUAGGCAGCGCAGAAAUCUAGGGGAGGUGGGGGUAGGGAGGAAGAAAGAAAACGACGCCACUAGAGGUACCUGUUUAGAUCCCCGAGAAGGACGCUCCGCGAAAGACCAUCGUUCGCCGCGGCGCUCCUGAGGGGGCGGAGGCGCCACCUCGAUCUCCGGAGCGAGGCGAGGUUCGACCUCAGCCUCCUACCCCACUGACCUAGACCAGGCGUCCCGAGACCUAGACCACGAAGAGGGAGAGGCCACGACCUAGGCACCCUCCGCCGCCACCGGAGGCCGCCACCCCAUAGAAACAGGAGCCGAAGGGAAGGAUGAGUCCCACGCCCCGCCCCGAGCAAACGGGGCAGAGCCGGGGACGGAGGAGACGGAGGAACGCGCAAACCCCGACCUAGACCAAAAGCAGGCGGCGGAACGAGGAAGCGCCCCGGCCGCGCAGCCGGUGGACCAGGCCGGAGCCCCCGCGGGGAGGGAGGCCCGUACCCCCUACCCUAGGAAGGAGGAGGAGGCCGCGUAGUCGUUGGGGCGGGGAGGGGAAGGAGGGUGUCGUUGGGAAGCCGCGAGUGGACAAAACGGACGGUGUCUGGCCCCGUGAAGGUCAGAGCGACGUGGUUGGGGGGUAAGACGAACUAAACGGCAAGACUACCAGUGGAGUGCCAGUUGACGUACCUAUCCGUCUUCGGAGGGCGCCAGAAGGUCAAACCAUACCCGGAGGGACCAACGAGAAAGAAACGGAAACUACCACUGGACGGACAAGCCCUCCACCGUGGACGCGACAGGUUACGCCGCUAACAGAGACAGUUCCUGGUUUUCUAGAGCGGGGUUUGAGAAGACCUUCCCGAGGCGUAAACCCUACACCGACCAACCCUGACCGUUCAACACGUCGAUAGCCUGAAACUGAAGAGACACCACAAGGGGAGGUUUCUUACGGACGCAUACUAGCGAAGGACGUGGUCAAAGUGGAACGGGGAAUUGGUUGACCACCAAAGACAAUUUCGCCGAAGUAUGUUACCAUGACGCCAACCGGGAGAGAGGGUUCACACCCACAACUAGCUACUAGACGGCCGACCGGACGCGAGCAGACGAAAAGAGUACAGGAAACCCCAAGACUAACCAUUUGGGUAACUCCACCUACUCCUCAGAGACUUGUUCCAACCAGGACGAUCCUACUUCUGACGCCCACGCCCACCUCCCCCGCCGCCGCCGAAAGGUUCGAGGUGGAGGGGGGGAGGGAGACAAUUAGGAAGCUUAUUCGUACUAUUCGUACUGUUCCUUCCCCUACCAAGGAAACCACCGGGAUUAGUCUCGAAACCCAGAUCAAAGGCGAAGUGAGUUAGGCUUACCCUACCUGACCGUCUGAGUCUUGCCCUCAACAAAGUUAGAGUUCGCGGACUACCACUACGGGGAGCACUACUGAGCCACUAGGGGGGACGACGAGUCUUACGAGGACGAUGACGGCGACUAGACGGUUUCCGAGGCGGAACGAGCCGGUGAGGAUACAGACCACGAACGAGGUGAGAAGGACGAGCGGGAGAGAGGGGGUGGGCGAGCCCUUAACUUCCAGAAGGACAGAGAGGACGAGCACUAUACUACCUUAGGGUCGGGGGGAGCUUCUUCUUUAGGAGUCACGCGUUCAUGAGCCGAUUCUCGGCCUUGAGCAGCCCGAGCUUCGUUAGUUACUGCCCCUAAACGGCCGCAGAACUAGUUCUAGACCCGAGGUACAGGGCGAGCCCGGGGGUACAACCGAGAGGACGACACGCCAGCGGACGGUAGGCAAGGGGCCACAGGUGCCGGGCAUUUCCAUCUGUCCACCGCGUGAGACCACCAAGAUAGGACCUUGCCCGCCUCUUCGCCCAACGCCGCUUCCUGGAGGGAGGGGGUCCAUGGAGGGGUAGGAGUAAACGGCGACAAAGAGGCCAAGCCCACCAAAAUAGAAGCUACAGACUACUAGUAGAAAAUUUGUAAUACAGCCUACACCCACACCACCAGCUAAGAAGACAACCAAGAGGAUCAAGCGAAGAACGGUAAUAAGCUCGAUUACUUAACCGAGUCCGUCGGUAACGCUUUCGGUUUCUCCAACAACGGAGCGCCCAGCGCCUGCGACCGAUACGACGCCCCCUCCGAAGCCCACGACCAUCACCGGUCGGGGGAAGGACAGGACGGUUCUCCCCGCGAUUAUUUGCAAGAUUUAGGACGUACCGGGGGACGUCCCCCAAGCCAUGAUCCCCCGCGGCACUGGUUGAAUUUCUAAACCAAGCAAGAUUGAGAUAACUAAAACACCCCGACCAACUUUGAAAAUUCCUAAGGAAGAGGGGAUCACUCGAGAGACGAUAGCACCGGUUACGAAAAUUACUGAAGUAAUCACGAUUGCGGUAAGCACUCGAAGGAGCCCCCCCUCGAGCGAAAUGAACCAGAUUAGUAGUCCGAUUGGGAUAAUCUAGGCACGACCUAGCACAAAAGGAACCAGGGUCCACCCUACGGGACAAGGGAUCCAGAAUAGAAGAGCGAUUUACGUAACAGCCCAGACUAGUAUGGGGGAACUAAGAACUGCUACCAAGGUAGACGUUAUCUGGAGGCCGAUCUAAAGUCAAACUACGAAGAACCGACAGCCAACUGCCGAAACAGCUAUACCAGCGACGCUUUUAAAGGGUGAGGGAAAGGAGGUUGGAGGCGAGGAAACCGGGAGACCUACUGACCGUAAGAACGAGGAUAAGGGAAGCGUUUAAAGAAUCUCCCACCAGCGCAUUGGUACGCCGCCUCCUAGCUGCGAGGUUUCGGAGAGAACUUUUAGUCUAGGACCUCGACCUAGCAUGACGACUGAGAUAACCCGAGAGACUGUUACCUACCCGGCAAGCAAUAUUAGACCUCCGACGUGAAAACGUCGACGUGGUAGUCCGACUCUAAAUGACCGCGGUCUCCCCGUGAGAAUUAACCUGUGAGUUUCCCCUGCGAGGAUGACGUAUAAAAAAACGCUAACGCUUGCCAUCCGUAUCCACGACACUGUAAUUGUCAAACUACUAAUUACCAGACGCGAGGAGACUGGUCAGCCACUAAGAUCGAGUACAUCACCUAAAGAAGAGUAGAAACAAUCCCCGAUUUGGAGUUAGCCCGAACAGGUAAAGGGGGGUGGAAACCUCAAGACCAGAAUUUUAAAGGGGGCUCCUCUUACGGAGGAACUACUAGGGCGAGAGACUAGUCCUUUAGACCCUGCACCAAUUAAGACGAUUGGGGUUACGUCGUAGACCCGGUCUACCGAAAAGGUAAGGAAAGAAAGCCUCUAAAACCGGGGUUAACUUUGUCAACACCACCACCUUUUACUACUGACACCCCCCGCCCAGCGACACCAAAAGCUAAGAAUUCCGGUUUAUAAAGGGGGUGAGGCUAGGAUACAAACGAGGGCGCGCCGCACCAAGAGUCAAGACCUUUCGAGAACAAUUUCAAUUCGGCUAAAAAAACCUCGUACAGUUCAAAAGACACCCCUUACCCAGACGACAAGCAAAAACCAACCUAACCACCAGACCCCUACGGGGUGAACGGCACUCGAAGGGCCAAAACAAAAGAAUAACAGGGUUAGGCGUCUAGAGGUAGCGCCUCGACCGACGAUUAUUAACCCUAGACCGAAAGGCAGCCCGAGACAGAGGACUUCUCAACCUUCUAACCGUUUCGGAGAGACGGGAGAAGGGGCACGAGAGCCUCAGCCGACUGAGCCACAAAACCGGUGAAAGCCGGAGACCCCAACGUGAACGCCGACCGUGGCGUCGACAUCGGUACCACCCGGAGUGACCUGAACCGCCUGAGGAACUUAGUGUGGAAAGUCCGGGCUGCUGCCACCGCGGGGAGAAGAGGCGGUUCCAAUGAAACUCCCAGCAGGGCUGGGAGCCGAUGACCCCUUUCCGUAAAUGCCACAGUAGCCACGAAAGAAGAUUUCGUCGCUACGCACGGAGGGCAGGGAGUAGCGCGGGAAGCGAUCCCUCGACGGCGGGCAGCCCGGCAAGGAGGGCGUCGGAGGGCAGGCAGCAGCGCGGGAAGUGGCGCCCUCGACGGCGGGCAGCGCGGAAGGCGGCGUCCAGUGGCGCCCUCGGCGGCGCGGGAAGAGGCGCCCUCAGCAGGCUCGGCGAGUCGAACCUCAGGAGUUGACGGCAGCGCGUGUGUCCACUCUUCUCGCGUUGGGAUGUCAAAGGAUAACCCAACCCAUGGCAUGACUACCGACUACGCACACCGCCCAACCCUAACCCUACAUCCACCGCGCUGCCUCCCCCUCAAGCAGGGGAGGAGGAGUACGAGGCGGACUUAGCGCUACUCGCUUACACAACAGACUACGUCAACCACGGUUCCUAAGCUCUUCCACUUGAUUAUGGUUCUUGGUACAGCAGCCUACUAAGACCUUCUCUACCAGGACUAUCAGCUCUACUACCUAAUUAUUCUGACUCCCGCCCUCUUCCCUCCGGCCCGCCGCGGCUUCCGCCUCGAGACGACGCUCGUACCGUGUAAAGUCAUUCCAAGACGACACACAAGUGUAAUUAAGUCUUUAAGUCGUUUCCGAAUCUCCUUCCGCGACGUCGCACCUACGUGUACCCUACAACGUCCUUGUACUUGGACUACUACUGGGUAUCAACCUACAAACACUCUCAAUAUGAAAAAUAGGUACGGAGUUGUUAGCUGGUUUAAUUUGCUGUCCUACUUGUAAGUCUGAAAUAACUACUGACCCUAAGAUCCUUCUGGUAAUGUUUGAGCUGGUCGGGUGGACAGUAGCGUUCUGUUCGAUUUUACUAUGAAAAAAGAAGCCAGCAUUAGGGCCGCAGGAGGAGCGUAGUAAGACGGCAGCGACUGGUAGUAAUAAGCCGGCAUUAGGGUCGCAGGAGGACCGUAGUGGGACGACGCGGGGACCGGUUAACGGACCUCUAUGGUAGGUUCGCGCACACCGACGUUUUUUCAUUAGUCUCAACAAACUGAUAAACACGAAGACAUCAAGACAUGUUACAAAUAGGCGACUAGUGUUGGUAUCUCCAACGUCUACUCGUUUUACCCAAAACU